ACUAAACAGGAUUCUCUUAGUAACUGCGAGUGAACAGAGAUUAGCCCAACAUCGAAGCCACCAUGCAUUUGUAUGGGAGGCAAUGUGAUGUUUUGGUGUUUGAACGCACUGUCUGGCUAACUUGAAGUCCAUAUUUGACUGUGGCUUGUAUUUAUACACCCAGAGAUGGUGAUAGGCCCGUUCAGGUUGGUAUUCUGGCAUGACAGUUCAGUGUGUAAUCAUUCAUCAUAGAGUCGGAUUGCUUGAGAGUGCAGUCCAAAAUGGGUGGUAAACUCCAUCUAAGGCUAAAUACCUGUACGAGUCCGAUAGUCAACAAGUACCGUGAGGGAAAGUUGAAAAGUACUCUGAAGAGAGAGUAAAUAGUACGUGAAACCACAUGGAGGUUAAACAAAUAGAGUCAAGCUGCUUGCAUCAUAUCAUUGCAAUAUGCGCAUUUUGUUGCAUGACAUUUGCCGGGACCUGGCGUGUGAUUCUGUCUACUUGUAGGCAUUUGAACAUGUGUUUGUUGUUGAAAGGUCUCGGUGAGUGUCUGCGCUUAUUGUUCAUGAUGGGUGCUAAUGCCAUAGUCGGUUGUACUACCAGUGCGCAGUAAUCGGCGAUUGUGCGGGCUGACUUAUUGUCGUUCGUGCAAUCAGUGAAACAGUUGGCAACAGUGUGUGCUUGCAUUCGCUUUUGUCAAAGAAGGCCACGGCCUGUUGAUUACUGUGAACAUUGUGAGAGUCGACCGUUCAUAUGUGCUCAUAUAAUUUGUGGUAGUAAGUCGACUUGUCGACUACUUCCAUAAAUGAGCUUAUGAGCUAUGGUAUUGUGGUAGACUUUCUAUUUG
RNAcentral lists this ribosomal RNA (826 nucleotides) under Neobenedenia girellae. RNAcentral describes it as "LSU rRNA". It matches the Rfam family "Eukaryotic large subunit ribosomal RNA", at positions 64 to 646 of the family's 3401-position model. Lineage: Eukaryota; Metazoa; Platyhelminthes; Monogenea; Capsalidea; Capsalidae. The record is from RNAcentral.